AACGAACGCUGGCGGCAUGCCUAACACAUGCAAGUCGAACGAGACCUUCGGGUCUAGUGGCGCACGGGUGCGUAACGCGUGGGAACCUGCCCUUAGGUUCGGAAUACCUCCCCGAAAGGGGUGCUAAUACCGGAUAAUGUCUUCGGACCAAAGAUUUAUCGCCUUUGGAUGGGCCCGCGUUGGAUUAGCUAGUUGGUAGGGUAAAAGCCUACCAAGGCGACGAUCCAUAGCUGGUCGGAGAGGAUGAUCAGCCACACUGGGACUGAGACACGGCCCAGACUCCUACGGGAGGCAGCAGUGGGGAAUAUUGGACAAUGGGCGAAAGCCUGAUCAAGCAAUGCCGCGGGAGUGAUGAAGGCCUUAGGGUUGUAAAGCUCUUUUACCCGGGAUGAUAAUGACAGUACCGGGAGAAUAAGCUCCGGCUAACUCCGUG
RNAcentral lists this ribosomal RNA (433 nucleotides) under uncultured bacterium. RNAcentral describes it as "partial 16S ribosomal RNA". It matches the Rfam family "Bacterial small subunit ribosomal RNA", at positions 29 to 507 of the family's 1533-position model. The record is from RNAcentral.